Non-coding RNA from Camelina sativa (false flax), 1528 nucleotides. The record is from RefSeq and is a predicted model, not a curated record. Lineage: Eukaryota; Viridiplantae; Streptophyta; Magnoliopsida; Brassicales; Brassicaceae.
GGCUUGGGAAUGAGAAAUUAGGUGAUUUAAUUUAAUGAAAUUAUGAUUAAUAAAAACACAUGGGAAUUUGAUUUUUCCGUCUUUUCUCUAAAUCCCAGCAACAAACACAAAGCUAUUCUCAGAUUCAAGGAACCAGUUCUUUCGUAAGCUUCGAGCCCAGCUCGGGGAAAAAAAAUUGGAACUUGCAUUUUUUUGAAUUCAAUUUUGGGAAGAUGAUUGGGAAUCCGGCAAUUCAAGUUCAAUCAUCACUAAUGCCAUCAUCGUCCAUGAUUGUUUGCCCUCGAGCUUCACCCAAUGGGCUUCCUUAUCUCCCACCGAAGAAACCUAGAACUAAGCAUUUAGUUGUAAGAGCUGCUGCAUCCAAUUCCGACGCUGCUCAUGGUCAAAGUCAACCAUCGUCUGGUGAAGGAGGGAAGAGUCCGCUCACUGUUGUUUUGGAUGUGCCUAGGAAUAUAUGGAAACAGACUUUAAAGCCUUUGAGUGAUUUUGGUUUUGGUAAGAGAAGUGUUUGGGAAGGUGGGGUUGGUUUGUUUAUUGUCUCUGGAGCUACACUUCUUGCUCUUAGCUGGGCUUGGUUGCGUGGUUUUCAAAUGCGGUCCAAGUUUAGGAAAUAUCAGACUGUCUUUGAGCUUAGUCAUGCCUCUGGUAUUUGUACUGGAACACCUGUUAGAAUCCGUGGGGUUACUGUUGGUACUGUGAUCCGUGUUAAUCCUUCCUUGAAGAACAUUGAAGCUGUUGCUGAGAUUGAAGAUGAUAAGAUUAUUAUCCCAAAGAAUUCACUGGUUGAGGUCAAUCAGUCUGGUCUUCUAAUGGAAACCAUGAUCGACAUUAUGCCUAGGAAUCCGAUACCAGAACCUUCUGUUGGACCUCUGCAUCCUGAAUGUGGUGUAGAAGGUCUGAUCGUUUGUGAUAGGCAGAAGAUUAAAGGAGAGCAAGGAGUAAGUUUAGAUGAAUUAGUUGGUAUUUUCACUCGUAUUGGACGCGAAGUAGAGGCCAUUGGUGUUGCCAAUACGUAUUCUCUUGCUGAGAGAGCGGCUUCAGUUAUUGAGGAAGCAAAACCAUUGCUCAUAAAGAUUCAAGCCAUGGCUGAAGAUGCUCAACCUUUGCUCUCUGAGUUUCGUGAUAGCGGCUUGCUCAAGGAAGUUGAGUGUCUUACUCGAAGCCUUACCCAAGCUUCUAACGAUUUGAGAAAGGUGAACGCAUCGAUUAUGACACCAGAGAAUACAGAACUCAUUCAGAAGUCAAUCUACACUCUGGUUUACACUUUGAAGAACGUCGAGAGCAUAAGCUCAGAUAUUCUGGGGUUCACAGGGGAUGAAGCCACAAGAAAAAACCUAAAACUACUCAUCAAAUCCCUCAGCAGGCUAUUAUGAUGAGCCUGGAGAGAAACCAACUCAAGAGAUUUUAGCAAGAUGUGUUUGUUCUUGGUUCUUUUUAGAGCAUUUACUUUUAACACGGAGACGGACGUCGAUGACGAUAAGCGCGUCUCGUUUUCGUGUAGGGUCUCUCUCAAAGGCAGAGGAGAAGA